This 398-nucleotide ribosomal RNA is filed under the name uncultured Prevotellaceae bacterium. RNAcentral's name for it is "bacterial SSU rRNA". It matches the Rfam family "Bacterial small subunit ribosomal RNA", at positions 354 to 749 of the family's 1533-position model. The record is from RNAcentral. Lineage: Bacteria; Pseudomonadati; Bacteroidota; Bacteroidia; Bacteroidales; Prevotellaceae.
UGAGGGAAUAUUGGGUCAAUGGACGAGAGUCUGAACCAGCCAAGUAGCGUGCAGGAUGACGGCCCUCCGGGUUGUAAACUGCUUUUAGUUGGGAAUAAAAAAGGCGACGUGUCGCCUAUUGUAUGUACCAUCAGAAAAAGGACCGGCUAAUUCCGUGCCAGCAGCCGCGGUAAUACGGAGGAUGCGAGCGUUAUCCGGAUUUAUUGGGUUUAAAGGGUGCGCAGGCGGCGCGCCAAGUCAGCGGUCAAAGUUCCGGGCUCAACCCGGUGUCGCCGUUGAAACUGGCGUGCUCGAGUGCGUGCGAGGAAGGCGGAAUGCGUUGUGUAGCGGUGAAAUGCAUAGAUAUGACGCAGAACUCCGAUUGCGAAGGCAGCUUUCCAGCGCGCUACUGACGCUGA